RNAcentral lists this ribosomal RNA (855 nucleotides) under uncultured bacterium. Its description in RNAcentral is "bacterial SSU rRNA". It matches the Rfam family "Bacterial small subunit ribosomal RNA", at positions 8 to 879 of the family's 1533-position model. The record is from RNAcentral.
AGAGUUUGAUCCUGGCUCAGGAUGAACGCUGGCGGCGUGCCUAAUACAUGCAAGUCGAGGAGAAUCAGCGGAUCGGAGAUUCGUCAAAGAGAAGCUGAGGAAAGCGGCGGACGGGUGAUAACGCGUAGGCAACCUGCCCUUAGCAGAGGGAUAGCCAUUGGAAACGAUGAUUAAAACUCAUAAUGCUGUUUUAACACAUGUUGGGACAGCCAAAGAUUUAUCGGCUAAGGAUGGGCUGCGUCUGAUUAACUAGUUGGUGAGGUAACGGCCCACCAAGGUGACGAUCAGUAGCCGACUGAGAGGGUGAUCGGCCACAUUGGAACUGAGACACGGUCCAAACUUCUACGGAAGGCACAGUAAGGAAUCUUGCACAAUGGGGGAAACCCUGAUGCAGCAACGCCGCGUGAACGAUGAGGCCUUAGGGUUGUAAAGUUCUGAUCUGUGGGAAGAAGAAGUGACGGUACCACAGGAGAAGCCCCGGCUAAAUACGUGCCAGCAGCCGCGGUAAUACGUAUGGGGCAAGCGUUAUCCGAAUUAUUGGGCGUAAAGAGUGCGUAGGUGGUUACCUAAGCGCAAGGUUUAAUCUUGAGCUCAACCUCAUUCUGCCUUGCGAACUGGGCUACUUGAGUGCAGGAGGGGAAAGCGGAAUCCCAGUGUAGCGGUGAAAUGCGUAGAUAUUGGGAAGAACACCGGUGGCGAAGGCGGCUUCUGGACUGUAACUGACACUGAGGCACGAAAGCGUGGGGAGCAAACAGGAUUAGAUACCCGGUAGUCCACGCCGUAACGAUGAGCACUAGUUGUUGGGUACGAAUGUAUUCAGUGACGCGUUAACGCAAUAAGUGCUCCGCCUGGGGA